This is a long non-coding RNA of Salvia splendens (bonfire salvia), 559 nucleotides long. RefSeq lists it as uncharacterized. The record is from RefSeq and is a predicted model, not a curated record. The transcript has 2 exons. NCBI's taxonomy places the organism in Eukaryota, Viridiplantae, Streptophyta, Magnoliopsida, Lamiales, Lamiaceae.
ACUGAGGAAGAUAAGCAUAUUUCACUUCAGCACACAAGUUCAGAUUUAUGCUAUGAUUUUUCUUAUCUUUACAGCUUUGUGAAGCAGAACCAAGAGAUAUUCAUGCAACUAGAUUGACUUCUAGGGAAACACUAGAAACUAGAGGCCAACUCAAAAUAAAAAAGAGGACGGUUGAUAGAGAUCAAUUGUUCCCCGCAUAUCCUUGCAGAUGAGCUUUAAGUUAUCCUUAUUUGUUAGUUUUUUAAUGUUUUAACGAGUCUAGUUGUUAAAGACAUGUUUUAUAUUGUAGAGUUAGAAUUGAAUUAAGAGUGUUCUUCUGUGUAGGAGUCGCCUCUCAGUAGUUACCAUAGUUCAAAUUUUUGUUCAGUUUCUAUCGAGUUCUGUUCGUUCUUUUUUUGUUCUUACUGUUCGUUUACAGUCAUCCUCCACCUUUAACAAGAUUUCUAAAUCAAUAUGCAAAUUAAGAAUAUUUUCAAAAAAUUUCAUUCACAGCGCCACGUGCAGGGUUGGAGUGAAAUAGUUUGAAAAUUGCAUAAAUUGAUGUUCUGGUGCAACACAA